This 65-nucleotide transfer RNA is filed under the name Hemidactylus farasani (Farasan gecko). Its description in RNAcentral is "tRNA-Cys". Lineage: Eukaryota; Metazoa; Chordata; Lepidosauria; Squamata; Gekkonidae. The record is from RNAcentral.
AGCCGCGUGGUGAGACCACACCAAAGUGCAAAUUUGGAGACGUACCCCAGAGGGUGCCGGGGCUU